RNAcentral lists this ribosomal RNA (253 nucleotides) under uncultured bacterium. RNAcentral's name for it is "partial 16S ribosomal RNA". It matches the Rfam family "Bacterial small subunit ribosomal RNA", at positions 524 to 776 of the family's 1533-position model. The record is from RNAcentral.
UACGUAGGGGGCAAGCGUUAUCCGGAUUCACUGGGUGUAAAGGGAGCGUAGACGGCGACGCAAGUCUGGAGUGAAAGCCCGGGGCCCAACCCCGGGACUGCUCUGGAAACUGCGUCGCUGGAGUACGGGAGGGGCAGGCGGAAUCCCUGGUGUAGCGGUGAAAUGCGUAGAUAUCAGGAGGAACACCGGCGGCGAAGGCGGCCUGCUGGACCGUGACUGACGUUGAGGCUCGAGAGCGUGGGGAGCAAACAGG